This 4097-nucleotide long non-coding RNA is filed under the name Nicotiana benthamiana. Its description in RNAcentral is "long non-coding RNA (NBEN_LNC022650)". The record is from RNAcentral. Lineage: Eukaryota; Viridiplantae; Streptophyta; Magnoliopsida; Solanales; Solanaceae.
UAUUAUUGAAUUUGCUUACAAUAGAACUAUCCAUUCUUCUACAGGAAUGUCUCCUUGUGAGGUUGUUUAUGGCUUUAAUCCCUUUACACCACUUGAUUUAUUACCAUUGCCAACUAAUGAUAUUGCUAAUCUUGAUGGUAGAACAAAGUCUGAGAUGAUGAAAAAAAUUCAUGAGCAAACAAAGCUUGCAAUUGAGAAGAAAAAUAAGCAAACUGCUUUGAGAAAGAAUAAGGGUCGAAAACAAGUUAUUUUUAAACCUGGAGAUUUAGUUUGGGUUCAUUUUAGAAAGGAGAGAUUUCCUUCCAAAAGGAAGUCAAAGCUGCAUUCUAGAGGAGAUGGCCUCUUUCAAGUCCUUGAAAGUAGGGGUGUUUAUUGGGUGGAUUGGGCGGCUUUUACUCUUAACGGUUUGGCUUAACGGUUAUCGGCUUUUAAAUGUANNNNNNNNNNNNNNNNAAUCAUCUAGAUCCCGAGAUUAAAAAUGCUUAGAAGUAGAAAUAAACUUUUGUUAAUCAUUUUUAAGGGUUUUAGUUUUUUUAUAUUUAAUAUAUAUAAUAUUCUUAACGGGUUAACGGAUUAGCUGUUAAGAAAAUUGAAUAAUCCAUCCCCAGACCGAUAAGCCGUUAAUAAAAAAAAUUCAAUCCGUUCCCCGUCCGUUAAGCCGUUAAGCCGUUAAGCUUCGGUUUGGAUUGGUUUUCGGUUUCGGAUCGGUUUCGAACACCCCUACUUGAAAGGAUUGGAGACAAUGCUUACAAGCUGGACCUUCCUGGUGAGUAUCAAGUAAGUGCUACAUCCAAUGUUGCUGACAUAUCUUUGUUUGAUGUAGGAUCGAAUUCGGGGACGAAUUCUUUUCAAGGUGAGAAUGAUAGCAUCAAGGACAAGGAUAUAAUUAAGGACAAUGACAGAGUUUUGAAAGUUCCAAGGCCAUUUACUAGAUCACAAGCUAAAGAGUUGCAAACUAAGGUUACUGGACUUCAAUGGCAAAUAAAGAAGCUUUUAAUUGUAGAGGAAGAGCUCAAGCCCAAAGGAGAUGAAUUAUCCAAGUUUUAUAAUUAUUUGGUGGUCCAAAUUGAAAUCCAAGAUAAAGAAGAUUGUGUCACCAAAUCAGCCCUUCAAGUCCAUGAAAAGGGCUCAAAAUGACCUUAAAAGAGGUCCAAAAGGGGUGUUUCAAAAGGAGUCCAAUUGGAGUCCAAAUCAAUGGCCCAAACUAGUAUUUUGAAGCCCAAAUGUGCCCCAAAAGAAAUUGGCCGCCCCCACCUAAUUUUGAUUGCUUUUGUUAACCCUAAUGAGCCACAUACCUAAGUUUGAUGGCUAUUGUGACCCCUAACAGCCCCCUACCUAAUUUCGAUGACUUUUUAGCAACCCCUACAUUAUUUUAAGGGGUUUUUACUCUUAUAAAUAGGGAGUUCUUAUUCAUAAGAUACAACAUUAUUGAUUAAGUAUAUCAUACUUUGAGAGUUCUUUUGAACNNNNNNNNNNNNNNNNNNNNNNNNNNNNNNNNNNNNNNNNNNNNNNNNNNNNNNNNNNNNNNNNNNNNNNNNNNNNNNNNNNNNNNNNNNNNNNNNNNNNNNNNNNNNNNNNNNNNNNNNNNNNNNNNNNNNNNNNNNNNNNNNNNNNNNNNNNGAUUUCUUCUCUUUUAUGAUACAACCUUUACUAAUUCAUAGUUCAAGGUAGUAAGAUUUCUUCUCUUUUAUGAUAUCUUUGAUUUCCUUUAUGGUAUUCUUAGAAGACGAUUAAUACUAGUUAUUUUCUCCCAUAAAUUAAGACGUUGUUACUUCGAUCUUGUCAAGGCUAUAGAACUUGCGUUCUUGGAAUUCUUUCCCUGAAUUUUCCCAUAUCCUUUAUUUUCAUAUGUUUAAUUCUAGUUGUUCAAUCCUUGUUGUUAUUGCUUCCUCAUUUACUUCUCAAAUUCUUACUCUAGUUUGGAUUCUCGAUUUAGUUGUUAUCACAAGUCACUGGUUUAAAUCCUGAAUCGAGGAAAAGAUUAACUCUAUUUUACAUUCCGCGAACAUAGAAAUCAGGAUAAGAAAUUAUGUUAAACAGGGAGAAUGUGUUAGGCAUUCCCGAGUUUCAUGGUUCUAGCAUGGUCGCUCAACUGUUAUUAUUGGCCUAAUUAUCCGAUUUUAAAACACUUUUAAACCUAUGUGCAUAUUAACUUUUAAAUCGCUUUUAACCAGUUUAAGGAAGAUUUCAACAUCAUCUAAAAUACAUCUUUAGACCGUGCCACAUGGAAUGCAUCCGCAGUCCGAGACACAUUUUAUUUAACGUUGUUAAGAUUUGAAUUUGGGUCACAUGAAAUGCGCAACCGAGUUUAGGAAGGUAAUUUUUAAAAAUAGCGCGCCUAAAGCAACUACGCACUUUUAACUUUGCGAGGGGCAUAGAAAAUUCAGCUAAACUGUACGCCUUGAUUUCUAAAGGUUCAAGAUCAAUUAAAUGAGAGCACAUGGAUUUUGAGAUUUUAUUUGUCAUGACACGCCUUAAAUUAUUCCAAAGGGCUUUACUCAAUUAAAACAAACUACGGAUAUUCAAAAUUGUCUUCUAAACUACUUUGAGAUUAUUGUGAAGACCACGAAUUACGAGUCAUUUGUGGAAAUGGGUUAGCCAUUGAUUCAGUAACAAAUUCAAAGCCCUACGAUACGUGAACAAUUGCGCAUGGCGUGGGUAAUUGCAAUAGUACUGCACCAGAACAAGAAGUUGUUUCAUAUGAUAAAAAAAAUGAAAACAGUCUGAAAAGUUAAUGACGAGUGCCUGGAAGUAAGGCCAACCAUAAAAUAGCACUAAAAAAACGUCCUUUCUCCAAUUAAAAUACUAUGGAAUGUAUAAGUUCUAAAUUAAAAGCAAUAUUAGUGUAACCUUGAAGUUAUGGAAAACCCCUUUAUAGAUCUACUCAGUAUAGUACUUAGUAACAUUCUGGCAUGGAGAAUGUACUCUUUCACAACACUACUAAAACCUUAGUCAAAUCCAAUUUUAAAGUUGACACGAGGGCAUAGAGAUACUAUCAUCUGGAGAGAAAUUUAGCCAACUUUCCCAUGGGUUUCUGACCACAAGACUUAAAAGGAGUCAAAAAUUAUGAUCGUGGCAUCACAGUAGCUGUGGUCCCAAACAAAAAUGGCAAAUCAUUUCCAUUAUUUCUUCAUUUACGGUGCAUCUUCCCCAAGUUAAAAUGUGAAGAAAACUCGUAACUAAACCAAACAAUUAUUUUCUUGUGAACACAAUACUGAUGAAACUAUUCACAUAAAAACGGAGUUGGUAAGAUGUUAAAACAUUCCACAAGAAUAGAGCAACAAAUAGCUAGUUCGACAUUUAUCGAAAUAGAGUGAAGACUAAUACUUAAAAAAACAAUUCAAUAUCCAAAAGAUAAGAAAGAAAUGGACCUGAAAACUAAGUGAUUCAAUCAAUUCAAAUGUCCAGCAAUUCUACGGAUGGAAACAAAAGACAAUUGCGACCGGAAUCCGACACGACGAUCCUCAAACCGGCAACCUCGAGCACCAAACUAUUUCCCGGAUCUGAGAUUGACCGGACAGCCUCAAAAGGAUAGGGAUAUGAAAGCAAAAACGAACAGAACUCAGGACCUCUCCUUUGGGUAGAAGAACAAGAACAACUCUGUGUAUGUGUCUGUUUCGUGUGUCUGUCCGUAUGAGUUCCAGCGAGUGGAUGGUGAAGGCUGGGUGUGUGUGUUUUGGUGCCGCGACUGAAGUUAGGUGGCUGGUUUGAUGAGAGUAGGAGUCGAAGUGUGGUCUGAUUCGUCGGUUGUCGAAGAGAGCAGGCGUCAAUGGAGGUUUCCAAGUUGAAGUGAGAAGUGUAGGGGCUAGGGUCUUUUUUGGUUAGUAGCAGUAACGAUGGAGGGGGAAGAUGACUUGAAUGGGGUGUGUUGAGGGUGGUCGUUUGGUGGCGGAAGGCUGGCAGCGGCGCUGCUACAUGAAGAGGACGACCUGGGAGAAUUUUUCAGGUCUUGUCUCUCGUCUUCUGUAUAUCUCUAGGCUUUAUUUUUUGUUAUUAGGAUUCUAGGUUAGUUUAAGAAGGGGUCAGGGUCUUGGGCUCGGGUCGACCCCGUUUGGGCUAGAUUGGGAGAACAUUUGGGCUUUUAAAAUGGUUUGACC